GACGGAGGGGGCUAGCGUUGUUCGGAAUUACUGGGCGUAAAGGGCGCGUAGGCGGUUUGGUAAGUUGGAAGUGAAAGCCCGGGGCUUAACCUCGGAAUUGCUUUCAAAACUGCCAAGCUAGAGUGUAGUAGGGGAUGAUGGAAUUCCUAGUGUAGAGGUGAAAUUCUUAGAUAUUAGGAGGAACACCGGUGGCGAAGGCGGUCAUCUGGGCUACAACUGACGCUGAGGCGCGAAAGCGUGGGGAGCAAACAGG
RNAcentral lists this ribosomal RNA (253 nucleotides) under uncultured bacterium. Its description in RNAcentral is "partial 16S ribosomal RNA". It matches the Rfam family "Bacterial small subunit ribosomal RNA", at positions 524 to 776 of the family's 1533-position model. The record is from RNAcentral.